AGGACGAACACUGGCGGCGUGCUUAACACAUGCAAGUCGAACGGUAAGGCCCCUUCGGGGGGUACACGAGUGGCGAACGGGUGAGUAACACGUGGGUAAUCUGCCCUGCACUUCGGGAUAAGCCUGGGAAACUGGGUCUAAUACCGGAUAUGAGCUCCUGCCGCAUGGUGGGGGUUGGAAAGUUUUUCGGUGCAGGAUGAGUCCGCGGCCUAUCAGCUUGUUGGUGGGUAAUGGCCUACCAAGGCGACGACGGGUAGCCGGCCUGAGAGGGUGAUCGGCCACACUGGGACUGAGACACGGCCCAGACUCCUACGGGAGCAGCAGUGGGGAAUAUUGCACAAGUGGGACGGAAGCCUGAUGCAGCGACGGCCGCGGUGGGGGAUGGACGUCUUCGGAUUACGUUAAACCCCGUUCAAGGUAGGGAACGAAGGCGAAAGUGAACGGUACCUGCAAGAAGAAGACGAACCGACUAACUACGUGCCAGCACGCCGCGGUAACUCGUAGGAGGUACGGCGUGGACGAAGGACGCCUAA
RNAcentral lists this ribosomal RNA (533 nucleotides) under uncultured soil bacterium. Its description in RNAcentral is "bacterial SSU rRNA". It matches the Rfam family "Bacterial small subunit ribosomal RNA", at positions 33 to 541 of the family's 1533-position model. The record is from RNAcentral.